GACGAACGCUGGCGGCGUGCUUAACACAUGCAAGUCGAACGGAAAGGCCCUGCUUUUGGGUACUCGUCGAGCGACGGGCGGGUGAGUAACAGGUUAGCAACCUCUUCUUUUUUUUGGAAUAACAUCAGAAAGCGGCUACUAAUAGCUAAUAGCACCUGCUGCUGGGUGGGGGGGGGUGAAAUUUUUCGGUUGUGGGUGAUGGACACGCGGCUUAUCAGCUUGUUGGUGGGGUAGUGGCUUACCAAGGCUUUGACGGGUAGCCGGCCUGAGAGGGUGACCGGCCACAUUGGGACUGAGAUACGGCCCAGACUCCUACGGGAGGCAGCAGUGGGGAAUAUUGCACAAUGGGCGGAAGCCUAAUGCAGCAACGCCGCGUGCGGGAUGACGGCCUUCGGGUUGUAAACCGCUUUCGCCUGUGACGAAGCGUGAGUGACGGUAAUGGGUAAAGAAGCACCGGCUAACUACGUG
This 468-nucleotide ribosomal RNA is filed under the name uncultured bacterium. RNAcentral's name for it is "partial 16S ribosomal RNA". It matches the Rfam family "Bacterial small subunit ribosomal RNA", at positions 28 to 507 of the family's 1533-position model. The record is from RNAcentral.